Non-coding RNA from Lasiosphaeria ovina, 109 nucleotides. The record is from the annotation of a GenBank genome assembly. NCBI's taxonomy places the organism in Eukaryota, Fungi, Ascomycota, Sordariomycetes, Sordariales, Lasiosphaeriaceae.
GGCACGAUGGCUGAGCGGUCUAAAGCGUGAGACUCGGAUCAUAUUGACAGGAAAUAACUCGUUCUAUCUUAUCUCUUCAGAGGCGUCGGUCCAAAUCCGACUCGUGACG